UACGGAGGGUGCGAGCGUUAAUCGGAAUUACUGGGCGUAAAGCGCGCGUAGGUGGCUUGAUAAGCCGGUUGUGAAAGCCCCGGGCUCAACCUGGGAACGGCAUCCGGAACUGUCAGGCUAGAGUGCAGGAGAGGAAGGUAGAAUUCCCGGUGUAGCGGUGAAAUGCGUAGAGAUCGGGAGGAAUACCAGUGGCGAAGGCGGCCUUCUGGACUGACACUGACACUGAGGUGCGAAAGCGUGGGUAGCAAACAGG
This 253-nucleotide ribosomal RNA is filed under the name uncultured bacterium. Its description in RNAcentral is "partial 16S ribosomal RNA". It matches the Rfam family "Bacterial small subunit ribosomal RNA", at positions 524 to 776 of the family's 1533-position model. RNAcentral also lists the same sequence under 2 other names. The record is from RNAcentral.